RNAcentral lists this long non-coding RNA (215 nucleotides) under Elaeis guineensis (African oil palm). Its description in RNAcentral is "long non-coding RNA (EGUI_LNC013463)". The record is from RNAcentral. Lineage: Eukaryota; Viridiplantae; Streptophyta; Magnoliopsida; Arecales; Arecaceae.
AUCAUCCUUAUUUUUAUUUUUCUCCAUAUUUUAACCCUAACAAAUUUCUAGCACUUUUUAGGGGACAACCUAGCUAUUUAUCAUUUAGCCCCACAAUAUCCCAAUAAUAAAUACUAAGCUUCUUAGAGCUUAAAACAGGAGUUCCUAAGUAUAUUAGGGAGGAGUCUGACUUCUAGUUAAAACUAAUAUCACUUUUCUUAGAAUUUGGUGCCCUG